RNAcentral lists this ribosomal RNA (444 nucleotides) under uncultured bacterium. Its description in RNAcentral is "partial 16S ribosomal RNA". It matches the Rfam family "Bacterial small subunit ribosomal RNA", at positions 354 to 796 of the family's 1533-position model. The record is from RNAcentral.
GUGAGGAAUAUUGCGCAAUGGAGGCAACUCUGACGCAGCCAUGCCGCGUCAGGAAGAAGGCGCUACGCGUUGUAAACUGCUUUUAACCGGGAAGAAACCCCAGGACGUGUCCUGGGUUGACGGUACCGGAGGAAUAAGCACCGGCUAACUUCGUGCCAGCAGCCGCGGUAAUACGAAGGGUGCAAGCGUUAUCCGGAUUCAUUGGGUUUAAAGGGUGCGUAGGCGGAGCGUUAAGUCAGUGGUGAAAUCCUGCAGCUUAACUGUAGACUUGCCAUUGAUACUGGCGCUCUUGAGUGCGCUUGAAGUGGGCGGAAUGUGCCGUGUAGCGGUGAAAUGCUUAGAUAUGGCACAGAACACCAAUUGCGAAGGCAGCUCACUAAGGCGAUACUGACGCUGAGGCACGAAAGCGUGGGGAUCGAACAGGAUUAGAAACCCUGGUAGUCC